RNAcentral lists this long non-coding RNA (432 nucleotides) under Sus scrofa (pig). Its description in RNAcentral is "lncRNA (ENSSSCG00005021635.1)". Lineage: Eukaryota; Metazoa; Chordata; Mammalia; Artiodactyla; Suidae. The record is from RNAcentral.
UUCAGACUGGAUAAAAGGGUCCUGAUUGCUCCUCUACUCCCCUUCCACUUGAAGACUCUGACCAGAAAUCUGGGCCUCAAUCUGAUGUCAUUGUGCAGGAUCCAACCACAGUGAUGGCCUCAGUUGGUUCAGAGGAGAGAAGACAACACCCUGGAGAACACUGAAGGAUGACGUGGGAGGACCAGGAUCGAGGCUUUAAAAUGAAUAAAUGUAAGCACGUCUAAUUAUUUCUUUCAAAUUUAUAACAACAUUCUUGCUGUUAACAAAUAUAAAUGUAACAUUUACUAGGAAAUAAGAGACUGUAGACGGAAAUAAACAAACCUAAGAUGUAGUUCAUCUAAGUAAACACUGAGGUUAUAAACCUUCCAACUCAAAUAUCAAGAGCCCUGCAAAUUAAUGCUCCACACAAUAGACCCUUUGGAAGCUAACUUA